CUGGAGACAGGUGCUGCAUGGCUGUCGUCAGCUCGUGUCGUGAGAUGUUGGGUUAAGUCCCGCAACGAGCGCAACCCUUGCCUUUAGUUGCCAGCAGUUCGGCUGGGCACUCUAAAGGGACUGCCGGUGUUAAACCGGAGGAAGUGGGGAUGACGUCAAGUCCUCAUGGCCUUUAUGACCAGGGCUACACACGUACUACAAUGGCCGAUACAAAAGGGCAGCGACACUGCGAGGUGAAGCCAAUCCCGUAAAAUCGGUCUCAGUCCGGAUUGGAGUCUGCAACUCGACUCCAUGAAGUUGGAAUCGCUAGUAAUCGUGGAUCAGCAUGCCACGGUGAAUACGUUCCCGGGCCUU
Molecule: ribosomal RNA, 354 nt
Filed under: uncultured Desulfobulbus sp.
Lineage: Bacteria; Pseudomonadati; Thermodesulfobacteriota; Desulfobulbia; Desulfobulbales; Desulfobulbaceae
Description: bacterial SSU rRNA
Rfam family: Bacterial small subunit ribosomal RNA
Source: RNAcentral